UGCAAGUCGAGCGGAAACGAUGGGAGCUUGCUCCCMGGCGUCGAGCGGCGGACGGGUGAGUAACACUUAGGAAUCUACCUAGUAGUGGGGGAUAGCUCGGGGAAACUCGAAUUAAUACCGCAUACGUCCUACGGGAGAAAGGGGGCAACUUGUUGCUCUCGCUAUUAGAUGAGCCUAAGUCGGAUUAGCUAGUUGGUGGGGUAAAGGCCUACCAAGGCGACGAUCUGUAGCUGGUCUGAGAGGAUGAUCAGCCACACCGGGACUGAGACACGGCCCGGACUCCUACGGGAGGCAGCAGUGGGGAAUAUUGGACAAUGGGGGCAACCCUGAUCCAGCCAUGCCGCGUGUGUGAAGAAGGCCUUUUGGUUGUAAAGCACUUUAAGCAGUGAAGAAGACCUAACGGUUAAUACCCGUUAGCGAUGACAUUAGCUGCAGAAUAAGCACCGGCUAACUCUGUGCCAGCAGCCGCGGUAAUACAGAGGGUGCAAGCGUUAAUCGGAAUUACUGGGCGUAAAGCGAGCGUAGGUGGCUUGAUAAGUCAGAUGUGAAAUCCCCGGGCUUAACCUGGGAACUGCAUCUGAUACUGUCAGGCUAGAAUAGGUGAGAGGAAGGUAGAAUUCCAGGUGUAGCGGUGAAAUGCGUAGAGAUCUGGAGGAAUACCGAUGGCGAAGGCAGCCUUCUGGCAUCAUAUUGACACUGAGGUUCGAAAGCGUGGGUAGCAAACAGGAUUAGAUACCCUGGUAGUCCACGCCGUAAACGAUGUCUACUAGUCGUUGGGUCCCUUGAGGACUUAGUGACGCAGCUAACGCAAUAAGUAGACCGCC
Molecule: ribosomal RNA, 824 nt
Filed under: Psychrobacter sp. RKEM 879
Lineage: Bacteria; Pseudomonadati; Pseudomonadota; Gammaproteobacteria; Moraxellales; Moraxellaceae
Description: bacterial SSU rRNA
Rfam family: Bacterial small subunit ribosomal RNA
Source: RNAcentral